Molecule: ribosomal RNA, 465 nt
Filed under: uncultured bacterium
Lineage: Bacteria
Description: partial 16S ribosomal RNA
Rfam family: Bacterial small subunit ribosomal RNA
Source: RNAcentral
GACGAACGCUGGCGGCGUGCUUAACACAUGCAAGUCGAACGGAAAGGCCCUGCUUGCAGGGUACUCGAGUGGCGAACGGGUGAGUAACACGUGGGUGAUCUGCCCUACACUUCGGGAUAAGCCUGGGAAACUGGGUCUAAUACCGGAUAGGAGCCAUUUUUAGUGUGAUGGUUGGAAAGUUUUUUCGGUGUAGGAUGAGCUCGCGGCCUAUCAGCUUGUUGGUGGGGUAAUGGCCUACCAAGGCGGCGACGGGUAGCCGGCCUGAGAGGGUGGACGGCCACGUUGGGGCUGGGGUACGGCCCAGACUCCGACGGGGGGGAGGAGGGGGGAAUAUUGCACAAUGGGCGCGAGCCUGAUGCAGCGAAGCCGCGGGGGGGAUGACGGCCUUCGGGUUGUAAACUCCUUUCGCUAGGGACGAAGCUUUUUGUGACGGUACCUAGAUAAGAAGCACCGGCUAACUACGUG